This is a long non-coding RNA of Ctenopharyngodon idella (grass carp), 770 nucleotides long. RefSeq lists it as uncharacterized. The transcript is spliced from 2 exons. The record is from RefSeq and is a predicted model, not a curated record. NCBI's taxonomy places the organism in Eukaryota, Metazoa, Chordata, Actinopteri, Cypriniformes, Xenocyprididae.
ACACGGCUCCACUUUCCCGGAGACAGCCGGAGGGAGAGACAGAAGACGGCUGACAGUUCUGCUGGAAAUCAGCCAAUCUUGACCUGAUGGACCAGACAAAUUUGAAUGCGGACAUAGGAUGAUUAGUACAAAAUGACUGCCUUUUUUGAGACAGUGACCCAUGCUAACGAAAAUGUCAUGUUGAAGGUUAGUGUCUGCAUUUUCCAAACAUUUCUCAUUUUUAUCCUUGUUUAAAUACACAGUAGACACGUCUAAUCGUAUAGUACGCGACCUGUUGUCCUUUCUUCCAUCCAGCUCAGCAUGUUCUGUGCUAUUAAUGAUGCUUAGAUAAGCAUUACUGCCAGAGACAUCUGUUUCUAGAAGAAGAUAAAAGGGAAGUCUUGUACUUCAAGAAGAAAGGUGGAAAUGAUCAUGCUGUGCUGUUAUCAAUGCUGAGUUUUUUUUCUAGUUUGAAUGAGGGGUAGAACAUCUGAUGACAGUGUGAUAUGUCAGAAUCAGUUACACAAAUUGGUUCUUUCACACAGUUUUUUUUUUUUUUUCAAAGAACUUAUUCAAAAUAUUGAUUCAUCAGAUCUUUACAUCAUCAUGUGGUCUCUGACAUUCUGGCAUGGCAUUACAUGCUCUAAAGCAUUCAAAGAAAGCCAUAUGUAGCCAUUUAUAACUUUUUAAAUACAUUUUUUUAAUACGGUAACCUUUUAGGUUUUUAAUAGCGUUGUUAUCUUAUACACAAUGAUAGUGGUAUGAUUUUCAAAAACCCAUUAUCAAAAGUU